RNAcentral lists this ribosomal RNA (408 nucleotides) under Notolopas lamellatus. Its description in RNAcentral is "partial large subunit ribosomal RNA". Lineage: Eukaryota; Metazoa; Arthropoda; Malacostraca; Decapoda; Epialtidae. The record is from RNAcentral.
CAUAAUCAUUAGUUUUUUAAUUGAAAACUUGUAUGAAUGGUUGAACAAAAGAAGUUCUGUCUUGUUUUUAAAAAUUGAAUUUAACCUUUAAGUGAGAAGGCUUAAAUAUUUUAAAGGGACGAUAAGACCCUAUAAAGCUUUAAUAAGAAUUUAAUUAAUUUUUAAAUUAGUUUAUAAAGGAAAUUUGUUAAUGUUUUAUUAUAUUGGGGUGAUAUAAAUAUAAAUUAAAAUAACUGUUUAGUUGAAAUACACAUUUUUGUGAAAUAUAAAAGAUCCUAUUUAAAGAUUGGAAGACAAAGUUACUUUAGGGAUAACAGCGUUAUUUCUUUUGAGAGUUCUUAUUGAAAAAGGAGUUUGCGACCUCGAUGUUGAAUUAAAAAAUCUUUACAGUGUAGCCGUUGUAAGAAG